UCCUGGGAGGAUUGACAGAUUAAGAGCUCCUUCUUGAUUCGGUGGAUGGUGGUGCACGUCCGUUCUUAGUUGGUGGAGCGACUUUUCUGGUUGAUUUCGAUAGUGAACGACAUCCUAGCUUAUUAAAUAGGUGCGUGGUUCUCUGCACCUCGUACCCUUAGAGGGACAAGCGGCUCCUAGCCGCACGAAAGAGAGCAAUAACAGGUCUCUGAAGCCCUUAGAU
RNAcentral lists this non-coding RNA (223 nucleotides) under Ixodes scapularis (black-legged tick). Its description in RNAcentral is "Eukaryotic small subunit ribosomal RNA". It matches the Rfam family "Eukaryotic small subunit ribosomal RNA", at positions 1229 to 1478 of the family's 1831-position model. The record is from Rfam by way of RNAcentral. Lineage: Eukaryota; Metazoa; Arthropoda; Arachnida; Ixodida; Ixodidae.